GCCUGGAUCUGUGGUUAUUUAUGGAUUCCUCUCUCAACAUUGAACCCUAACAUUUGGGGGCUCGUUCCGGUGAGAGAGAGGGAGUGUUGGGGUAGAUGGAGAGAACCGGGGUCCGUGGUAAUUGGACGGGCAGACGGUAAUCAGUGGUGAAAGUGAGCAGGCAUUCCCCGGGGCAUUUAAAGGUAAGACACUGCCUGUUGAAAUAUAUUUCCAAAAGGUGUCACAUUGGGCAUGUCAAAUUAAAAGCCUGGUCACUGUAAUUACUGGUGAAUGUCUGUUUUUUAAUUUUGGUGAAAAGUUGAAGGUUGGAG
Long non-coding RNA from Oreochromis niloticus (Nile tilapia), 311 nucleotides. RefSeq lists it as uncharacterized. Lineage: Eukaryota; Metazoa; Chordata; Actinopteri; Cichliformes; Cichlidae. The transcript has 3 exons. The record is from RefSeq and is a predicted model, not a curated record.